CCUACGGGAGACAGCAGUGAGGAAUAUUGGGCAAUAGGCGCGAGCCUGAACCAGCCAAGUAGCGUGAAGGAUGACUGCCCUACGGGUUGUAAACUUCUUUUAUAAAGGAAUAAAGUGAGGCGCGAGUGCCUUUUUGUAUGUAGUUUAUGAAUAAGGAUCGGCUAACUCCGUGCCAGCAGCCGCGGUAAUACGGAGGAUGCGAGCGUUAUCCGGAUUUAGUGGGUUUAAAGGGAGCGUAGAUGGGUUGUUAAGUCAGUUGUGAAAGUUUGCGGCUCAACCGUAAAAUUGCAAUUGAUACUGGCAGUCUUGAGUACAGUUGAGGUAGGUGGAAUUCGUGGUGUAGCGGUGAAAUGCUUAGAUAUCACGAAGAACUCCGAUGGCGAAGGCAGCUUACUAAACUGCCACUGACAUUGAUGCUCGAAAGUGUGGGUAUCAAACAGGAUUAGAUACCCUUGUAGUC
Molecule: ribosomal RNA, 460 nt
Filed under: uncultured bacterium
Lineage: Bacteria
Description: partial 16S ribosomal RNA
Rfam family: Bacterial small subunit ribosomal RNA
Source: RNAcentral